GAUGAACGCUAGCUACAGGCUUAACACAUGCAAGUCGAGGGGAAACGGCAUUGAGUGCUUGCACUCUUUGGACGUCGACCGGCGCACGGGUGAGUAACGCGUAUCCAACCUUCCCAUUACUGUGGGAUAACCUGCCGAAAGGCAGACUAAUACCGCAUAGUCUUCGAUGACGGCAUCAGAUUUGAAGUAAAGAUUUAUCGGUAAUGGAUGGGGAUGCGUCUGAUUAGCUUGUUGGCGGGGUAACGGCCCACCAAGGCUACGAUCAGUAGGGGUUCUGAGAGGAAGGUCCCCCACAUUGGAACUGAGACACGGUCCAAACUCCUACGGGAGGCAGCAGUGAGGAAUAUUGGUCAAUGGACGGAAGUCUGAACCAGCCAAGUAGCGUGCAGGAUGACGGCGCUAUGGGUUGUAAACUGCUUUUGUAUGGGGAUAAAGUUAGGGACGUGUCCCUAUUUGCAGGUACCAUACGAAUAAGGACCGGCUAAUUCCGUG
RNAcentral lists this ribosomal RNA (492 nucleotides) under uncultured bacterium. Its description in RNAcentral is "partial 16S ribosomal RNA". It matches the Rfam family "Bacterial small subunit ribosomal RNA", at positions 28 to 507 of the family's 1533-position model. The record is from RNAcentral.